UACGUAGGGGGCAAGCGUUGUCCGGAUUUAUUGGGCGUAAAGAGCGUGUAGGCGGCCAAACAGGUCCGUUGUGAAAACUCGAGGCUCAACCUCGAGCUGUCGGUGGAAACCGUGUGGCUAGAGUCCGGAAGAGGAGAGUGGAAUUCCCGGUGUAGCGGUGAAAUGCGCAGAUAUCGGGAAGAACACCCGUGGCGAAGGCGGCUCUCUGGGACGGUACUGACGCUGAGACGCGAAAGCGUGGGGAGCGAACAGG
RNAcentral lists this ribosomal RNA (253 nucleotides) under uncultured bacterium. Its description in RNAcentral is "partial 16S ribosomal RNA". It matches the Rfam family "Bacterial small subunit ribosomal RNA", at positions 524 to 776 of the family's 1533-position model. The record is from RNAcentral.